GGACUACCCGGGUAUCUAAUCCUGUUUGCUACCCACGCUUUCGUGUCUCAGCGUCAGUCAUGGUCCAGAAAGCCGUCUACACCACAGGUGUUCCUCCUGAUAUCUACGCAUUUCACCGCUACACCAGGAAUUCCGCUUUCCUCUCCCAUACUCAAGCCCUCCAGUCUUCGGCGCACCCUCCCGGUUAAGCCGGGAGAUUUCACACCAAACUUAGAGGACCGCCUACACACUCUUUACGCCCAGUAACUCCGAACAACGCUUGCUGCCUACGUAUUACCGCGGCGGCUGGCAC
RNAcentral lists this ribosomal RNA (292 nucleotides) under uncultured Acidobacteriota bacterium. Its description in RNAcentral is "uncultured Acidobacteria bacterium partial 16S ribosomal RNA". The record is from RNAcentral. Lineage: Bacteria; Pseudomonadati; Acidobacteriota.